Molecule: RNA transcript, 1530 nt
Organism: Linepithema humile (Argentine ant)
Lineage: Eukaryota; Metazoa; Arthropoda; Insecta; Hymenoptera; Formicidae
Gene: CRIF
Gene name: growth arrest and DNA damage-inducible proteins-interacting protein CRIF
Source: RefSeq, a predicted model, not a curated record
AGAAAUUUUCCAUGUUUACAUGUAUUGAAUAUUUGUAUAUGCACUUGUUACUCGAUAUGCUAAAAAAUUAUUCAAAAACGUGUUUACAACCGUUGUUUAUGUCUGUUUAUAAGAUUUAACGAUUUUCAUGCAUUUGCCUUUUUAUGUCAUAGACAUUGCGUAUAUUUGAUUAAUUUAAUUCAACUGUAAUCUAACUUGUAAUUAACCUAACCUAACCUAAUUUAAUAAAACUAACCACGUAAAUUGUGCAGUGAUCACACGUUUCAUGCGGCGAAUUGAUGUUGCGAUGAGUUUAACACGUAUCUGCGAUGUUUUCAUUCAUCGAAACACGCGGUUUCAAGGCACUUUUGUCAGGAGACUUCUUGCUACGGAAUCGACAGAAGUGUCAAAAAAUGAAACAGUCGACAUAACCACUGCCGAUGAGGAACCUGUGUAUUCGAUGAUGGAUGAUCCACAGGUACAGGAAGAGAUCGCUAGGAAACGAAACAAAUCUCGGCUGAGUCCGCACGAUAGAAACAUUCUUAUGGGUUUGCGUCCUUACAACAAAUCUCUGGAAUGGUUUCAUAAUACUGUAAAAUACAAGAGACGUAUGCUGGGUAGAUAUGGAUUGAAAGGCAAUGAUGAACCGGUGGGAUUUGCGUGGCCUACGCAGAAAGAAGUAAAAAAUGCUCAAGAAUAUGAGACAGUUGCUUUCCCACUAUCUCUUCAAGAGAGGUGGAAAAAGCUGGAGCUGGAGAAACAGAGAAAGGCUGAAGAAGCUAAAAUAAGGGAAACUGAAAUAAUGGAGAAACUGGCAAAGAUGAAUCAAUGGACGGCUGAGUUGAAUGCAAAAGUAGCAAAGAAAGAAGCAGCUCUGCAGGCUGCUAAAUUGCGUAAAGAACGUCUGCUGGAAGAAGUCAGAAGACACUUUGGCUUCAGAAUUUCGUCUCAUGAUGAAAGAUUUAAGGAAAUGUUAGCACAGAAAGAGAAAGAAGAGAAGAAGAAAAAGAAAGAUGCUAAGAAGAAAGCAAGGCUGGAGAAGUUUUUAACUCACGAAUUAUCCGAAACCGAGAGUCAAGAACAAACAACUGACUCUACGAAAUCUGUAGAAUAAUAGCUUUUUGUGCAAUUAUUUUAAAGUAGAAUGUGCAUGUGUGGCCAAUGUGAUUAAACCGAGCUCGAGCGACGAUCGAACAGGUGAAGGUAUAGGGAGCAGUAAAUUGUGCGCAUUCGUGUUGAGGGCUGCAGCGAAGGAUAGCCGGAGGGUGAGGAGUUUAGUGCCAGGUGGUGCCAAGCAACGGGGGCAGUGGUACCAAUAGGUACCAUCUCAAACCAGCCCACCCUCGUCGAUUCACCCCCGACUUGCUCCUGUAAAUUCGUAGAAAAUCUCCUGCGCGGCUAAUACGUAAAUAAGAAAGACACUUUGUAUAUUUGAGAAAUGCAAUUUGUAAACAUUUCCUUCUUAGAUUUUUGACAUCUUAUCAUAUGAUUUUAAUUGUGAUUGCUCUUAAAUUGCGAUUCCGCCCGUAAAUUGCGAACUUAAAGGAGUAA